RNAcentral lists this ribosomal RNA (505 nucleotides) under uncultured Bacillota bacterium. Its description in RNAcentral is "bacterial SSU rRNA". It matches the Rfam family "Bacterial small subunit ribosomal RNA", at positions 355 to 851 of the family's 1533-position model. The record is from RNAcentral. Lineage: Bacteria; Bacillati; Bacillota.
UAGGGAAUCUUCCGCAAUGGACGAAAGUCUGACGGAGCAACGCCGCGUGAGCGAAGAAGGCCUUCGGGUCGUAAAGCUCUGUUGUUAGGGAAGAACAAGUACGAGAGUAACUGCUCGUACCUUGACGGUACCUAACCAGAAAGCCACGGCUAACUACGUGCCAGCAGCCGCGGUAAUACGUAGGUGGCAAGCGUUGUCCGGAAUUAUUGGGCGUAAAGCGCGCGCAGGCGGUCCUUUAAGUCUGAUGUGAAAGCCCACGGCUCAACCGUGGAGGGUCGUUGGAAACUGGGGGACUUGAGUGCAGAAGAGGAGAGUAGAAUUCCACGUGUAGCGGUGAAAUGCGUAGAGAUGUGGAGGAACACCAGUGGCGAAGGCGACUCUCUGGUCUGUAACCGACGCUGAGGCGCGAAAGCGUGGGGAGCAAACAGGAUUAGAUACCCUGGUAGUCCACGCCGUAAACGAUGAGUGCUAAGUGUUAGAGGGUUUCCGCCCUUUAGUGCUGCAG